RNAcentral lists this ribosomal RNA (440 nucleotides) under uncultured bacterium. Its description in RNAcentral is "partial 16S ribosomal RNA". It matches the Rfam family "Bacterial small subunit ribosomal RNA", at positions 338 to 795 of the family's 1533-position model. The record is from RNAcentral.
CCUACGGGGGGCAGCAGUGGGGAAUAUUGCACAAUGGGGGAAACCCUGAUGCAGCGACGCCGCGUGAGUGAAGAUGUAUUUCGGUAUGUAAAGCUCUAUCAGCAGGGAAGAAAAUGACGGUACCACAGGAGAAAGCCACGGCUAACUACGUGCCAGCAGCCGCGGUAAUACGUAGGUGGCGAGCGUUGUCCGGAAUAACUGGGCGUAAAGGGAGCGUAGGUGGUUGAUUAAGUUAAAUGUGAAAGCCCAGGGCUCAACUCUGGAACUGCAUUUAAUACUGGUCGGCUAGAGUACAGGAGGGGUAAACGGAAUUUCUAGUGUAGCGGUGAAAUGCGUAGAUAUUAGGAAGAACACCGGAGGCGAAGGCGGUUUACUGGACUGCAACUGACACUGAGGCUCGAAAGCGUGGGGAGCAAACAGGAUUAGAUACCCCAGUAGUC